GACGAACGCUGGCGGCGUGCCUAAUACAUGCAAGUAGAACGCUGAAGGAGGAGCUUGCUUCUCUGGAUGAGUUGCGAACGGGUGAGUAACGCGUAGGUAACCUGCCUGGUAGCGGGGGAUAACUAUUGGAAACGAUAGCUAAUACCGCAUAAUAGUAGAUGUUGCAUGACAUUUGCUUAAAGGUGCAAUUGCAUCACUACCAGAUGGACCUGCGUUGUAUUAGCUAGUUGGUGGGGUAACGGCUCACCAAGGCGACGAUACAUAGCCGACCUGAGAGGGUGAUCGGCCACACUGGGACUGAGACACGGCCCAGACUCCUACGGGAGGCAGCAGUAGGGAAUCUUCGGCAAUGGACGGAAGUCUGACCGAGCAACGCCGCGUGAGUGAAGAAGGUUUUCGGAUCGUAAAGCUCUGUUGUAAGAGAAGAACGAGUGUGAGAGUGGAAAGUUCACACUGUGACGGUAUCUUACCAGAAAGGGACGGCUAACUACGUG
This 494-nucleotide ribosomal RNA is filed under the name uncultured bacterium. Its description in RNAcentral is "partial 16S ribosomal RNA". It matches the Rfam family "Bacterial small subunit ribosomal RNA", at positions 28 to 507 of the family's 1533-position model. The record is from RNAcentral.